This is a small nuclear RNA of Myotis lucifugus (little brown bat), 104 nucleotides long. Lineage: Eukaryota; Metazoa; Chordata; Mammalia; Chiroptera; Vespertilionidae. The record is from Ensembl.
GUGCUUGCUUUGGCAGCACAUGUACUAAAACUGGAAUGAUACAGAGAUUAGCAUGGCCUCUGCACAGAGAUGACAUGCGAAUUGAUGAAGCAUUCCAUAUUUUU